GCUCCAGUGGCGCAACCGGUUAGCGCGCGGUACUUAUAGAGCAGUAUGUGUGCGGGUGAUGCCGAGGUUGUGAGUUCGAGCCUCACCUGGAGCA
Molecule: transfer RNA, 94 nt
Filed under: Ursus americanus (American black bear)
Lineage: Eukaryota; Metazoa; Chordata; Mammalia; Carnivora; Ursidae
Also listed under: 2 other names
Rfam family: tRNA
About the family: Transfer RNA (tRNA) molecules are approximately 80 nucleotides in length. Their secondary structure includes four short double-helical elements and three loops (D, anti-codon, and T loops).
Source: Rfam by way of RNAcentral